GAGUUUGAUCAUGGCUCAGGAUGAACGCUGACAGAAUGCUUAACACAUGCAAGUCAACUUGAAUUUGGGUUUUUAACCUAGAUUUGGGUGGCGGACGGGUGAGUAACGCGUAAAGAACUUGCCUCACAGUUAGGGACAACAUUUAGAAAUGAAUGCUAAUACCUGAUAUUAUGAUUUUAAGGCAUCUUAGAAUUAUGAAAGCUAUAAGCACUGUGAGAGAGCUUUGCGUCCCAUUAGCUAGUUGGAGAGGUAACAGCCCACCAAGGCGAUGAUGGGUAGCCGGCCUGAGAGGGUGAACGGCCACAAGGGGACUGAGACACGGCCCUUACUCCUACGGGAGGCAGCAGUGGGGAAUAUUGGACAAUGGACCGAGAGUCUGAUCCAGCAAUUCUGUGUGCACGAUGAAGUUUUUCGGAAUGUAAAGUGCUUUCAGUUGGGAAGAAAGAAAUGACGGUACCAACAGAAGAAGUGACGGCUAAAUACGUGCCAGCAGCCGCGGUAAUACGUAUGUCACGAGCGUUAUCCGGAUUUAUUGGGCGUAAAGCGCGUCUAGGUGGUUAUGUAAGUCUGAUGUGAAAAUGCAGGGCUCAACUCUGUAUUGCGUUGGAAACUGUAUAACUAGAGUACUGGAGAGGUAAGCGGAACUACAAGUGUAGAGGUGAAAUUCGUAGAUAUUUGUAGGAAUGCCGAUGGGGAAGCCAGCUUACUGGACAGAUACUGACGCUAAAGCGCGAAAGCGUGGGUAGCAAACAGGAUUAGAUACCCUGGUAGUCCACGCUGUAAACGAUGAUUACUAGGUGUUGGGGGUCGAACCUCAGCGCCCAAGCAAACGCGAUAAGUAAUCCGCCUGGGGAGUACGUACGCAAGUAUGAAACUCAAAGGAAUUGACGGGGACCCGCACAAGCGGUGGAGCAUGUGGUUUAAUUCGACGCAACGCGAGGAACCUUACCAGCGUUUGACAUCUUAGGAAAGAGAUAGAGAUAUUUCAGUGUCCCUUCGGGGAAACCUAAAGACAGGUGGUGCAUGGCUGUCGUCAGCUCGUGCCGUGAGGUGUCGGCUUAAGUGCCAUAACGAGCGCAACCCCUUUCUUCAGUUGCCAUCAGGUAAUGCUGGGCACUCUGGAGACACUGCCACCGCAAGGUGUGAGGAAGGUGGGGAUGACGUCAAAUCAGCACGGCCCUUACGUCCGGGGCUACACACGUGUUACAAUGGCCGGUACAGAGAGUUGAUUUUGUGCAAACACGAUCUAAUCCUUAAAUCCGGUCCCAGUUCGGACUGGGGUCUGCAACCCGACCCCACGAAGCUGGAUUCGCUAGUAAUCGCGCAUCAGCCAUGGCGCGGUGAAUACGUUCCCGGGCCUUGCACACACCGCCCGUC
Molecule: ribosomal RNA, 1377 nt
Filed under: uncultured bacterium
Lineage: Bacteria
Description: bacterial SSU rRNA
Rfam family: Bacterial small subunit ribosomal RNA
Source: RNAcentral